Molecule: transfer RNA, 65 nt
Filed under: Colochela zhongi
Lineage: Eukaryota; Metazoa; Arthropoda; Insecta; Hymenoptera; Tenthredinidae
Description: tRNA-Thr
Source: RNAcentral
GUUUUAAUAGUUUAAAUAAAACAUUGAUUUUGUAAAUCAAAGAAAAAUGUUUAAUUUUUAAAACU